CCAGAUUUUCUUGUUGCAGUACUGCUCAACAUCUGAUUUACAUGGGUUGCAAUUCCUGCAACAUCCAACAAUAACUCCAACUCCAACUACAUCUCCUACUCUGAAGUUAGUGACCUCUGAUCCCACCUCCACUACCUCACCAACCACUUCAUGCCCAGGAACCAUGGGGUAUCUUGACAUGCCAAGUUCAUUCUUCACUUGAUGAAUAUCAGUGUG
This 216-nucleotide unclassified non-coding RNA is filed under the name Hevea brasiliensis (rubber tree). The record is from RNAcentral. Lineage: Eukaryota; Viridiplantae; Streptophyta; Magnoliopsida; Malpighiales; Euphorbiaceae.